AUACUUACCUGGACGGAGUCAAUGGGUGAUCUUGAAGAUCCAUGGCCUAGGCUGGUGACCUCAUUGCACUUAGGAGGGGUGCUCGCCUACGGUCGUCCCAAGUGGUUGAGCCUACGUCAUAAUUUGUGGCAGAGGGGGCCUGCGUUCGCGCGGCCCCUAC
Solanum tuberosum (potato) is the source of this 160-nucleotide non-coding RNA. The record is from Rfam. NCBI's taxonomy places the organism in Eukaryota, Viridiplantae, Streptophyta, Magnoliopsida, Solanales, Solanaceae.